Molecule: ribosomal RNA, 511 nt
Filed under: uncultured bacterium
Lineage: Bacteria
Description: partial 16S ribosomal RNA
Rfam family: Bacterial small subunit ribosomal RNA
Source: RNAcentral
GACGAACGCUGGCGGCGUGCCUAAUACAUGCAAGUCGAGCGGAAGUUGGAGAGCUUGCUCUUCAACUUUAGCGGCGGACGGGUGAGUAACACGUGGGCAACCUACCCUGCAGAUCGGGAUAACUCCGGGAAACCGGUGCUAAUACCGAAUAGUUUUCGCCACCCCACGGUGGCGUACGGAAAGACGGUUUCGGAUGUCACUGUAGGAUGGGCCCGCGGCGCAUUAGCUAGUUGGUGGGGUAACGGCCCACCAAGGCGACGAUGCGUAGCCGACCUGAGAGGGUGAUCGGCCACACUGGGACUGAGACACGGCCCAGACUCCUACGGGAGGCAGCAGUAGGGAAUCUUCCGCAAUGGACGAAAGUCUGACGGAGCAACGCCGCGUGAGUGACGAAGGUUUUCGGAUCGUAAAACUCUGUUGUGAGGGAAGAACAAGUACCACUUAACUACUGGUACCUUGACGGUACCUCACCAGAAAGCCACGGCUAACUACGUGCCAGCCGCCGCAGUAA